GACGAACGCUGGCGGCGUGCUUAACACAUGCAAGUCGAACGGAAAGGCCCUGCUUUUGUGGGGUGCUCGAGUGGCGAACGGGUGAGUAACACGUGAGUAACCUGCCCUUGACUUUGGGAUAACUUCAGGAAACUGGGGCUAAUACCGGAUAGGAGCUCCUGCUGCAUGGUGGGGGUUGGAAAGUUUCGGCGGUUGGGGAUGGACUCGCGGCUUAUCAGCUUGUUGGUGGGGUAGUGGCUUACCAAGGCUUUGACGGGUAGCCGGCAUGAGAGGGUGACCGGCCACAUUGGGACUGAGAUACGGCCCAGACUCCUACGGGAGGCAGCAGUGGGGAAUAUUGCACAAUGGGCGGAAGCCUGAUGCAGCAACGCCGCGUGCGGGAUGACGGCCUUCGGGUUGUAACCCGCUUUCGCCUGUGACGAAGCGUGAGUGACGGUAAUGGGUAAAGAAGCACCGGCUAACUACGUG
Molecule: ribosomal RNA, 468 nt
Filed under: uncultured bacterium
Lineage: Bacteria
Description: partial 16S ribosomal RNA
Rfam family: Bacterial small subunit ribosomal RNA
Source: RNAcentral